This is a long non-coding RNA of Pseudophryne corroboree (corroboree frog), 450 nucleotides long. RefSeq lists it as uncharacterized. Lineage: Eukaryota; Metazoa; Chordata; Amphibia; Anura; Myobatrachidae. The transcript is spliced from 3 exons. The record is from RefSeq and is a predicted model, not a curated record.
GGCAGUUGAUGAUGGCCGUGCUUCCCAUCAGCAGCAUCUUCCCACUGAUAUUACACAGUGAUACAUGUGGGAAAUGACAUGUUAGUGCUGAGGAGUCAUUACACCAAGAACAGGGGGUUUGGGACAUCUACCGAAAUCAUCUAUUUUCUGCUGCUGGACACAAGAGAGGUGGGAGCAUGCAAGCAUAGGCAAGCACAUCAAGUAUAUGAUCACAUAAACGCAACCAUGGGACACCUGGAAAAAGAUUUACAUUCACCUCUCAGGAGGAAUAUCAACCCCUGGCGCAAAAUACCCACUACUGAUAAUGAUGAUUGGCAGCUGCUUCUGAUUGGUUGAUGUACCUGGACCCCUCCUACUUAUAAGGAAGUUUCCUCGUGCACGGAAAAGGUUUACUACAGCUAGAAUUGGAAUCCACAUAACGCAAAAAGAGAUUAUACACCAGCCGAUAGA